This 253-nucleotide ribosomal RNA is filed under the name uncultured bacterium. Its description in RNAcentral is "partial 16S ribosomal RNA". It matches the Rfam family "Bacterial small subunit ribosomal RNA", at positions 524 to 776 of the family's 1533-position model. The record is from RNAcentral.
CACGAACCGUACGAACGUUAUUCGGAAUUACUGGGCUUAAAGGGUUUGUAGGCGGCCAUGUAAGUCAGGUGUGAAAUCCCUCGGCUCAACCGAGGAACGGCGCUUGAUACUGCAUGGCUUGAGGGAGACAGGGGUAAGCGGAGCUGAUGGUGGAGCGGUGAAAUGCGUUGAUAUCAUCAGGAACACCGGUGGCGAAAGCGGCUUACUGGGUCUCUUCUGACGCUGAGGAACGAAAGCUAGGGUAGCGAACGGG